GAUGAACGCUGGCGGCGUGCCUAAUACAUGCAAGUCGAGCGAACAGACGAGGAGCUUGCUCCUCUGACGUUAGCGGCGGACGGGUGAGUAACACGUGGAUAACCUACCUAUAAGACUGGGAUAACUUCGGGAAACCGGAGCUAAUACCGGAUAAUAUAUUGAACCGCAUGGUUCAAUAGUGAAAGACGGUUUUGCUGUCACUUAUAGAUGGAUCCGCGCCGCAUUAGCUAGUUGGUAAGGUAACGGCUUACCAAGGCAACGAUGCGUAACCGACCUGAGAGGGUGAUCGGCCACACUGGAACUGAGACACGGUCCAGACUCCUACAGGAGGCAGCAGUAGGGAAUCUUCCGCAAUGGGCGAAAGCCUGACGGAGCAACGCCGCGUGAGUGAUGAAGGUCUUCGGAUCGUAAAACUCUGUUAUUAGGGAAGAACAAAUGUGUAAGUAACUAUGCACGUCUUGACGGUACCUAAUCAGAAAGCCACGGCUAACUACGUG
This 497-nucleotide ribosomal RNA is filed under the name uncultured bacterium. RNAcentral's name for it is "partial 16S ribosomal RNA". It matches the Rfam family "Bacterial small subunit ribosomal RNA", at positions 28 to 507 of the family's 1533-position model. The record is from RNAcentral.